Molecule: ribosomal RNA, 431 nt
Filed under: uncultured bacterium
Lineage: Bacteria
Description: bacterial SSU rRNA
Rfam family: Bacterial small subunit ribosomal RNA
Source: RNAcentral
GCGAACGCUGGCGGCAGGCCUAACACAUGCAAGUCGAACGGACCCUUCGGGGUUAGUGGCGGACGGGUGAGUAACACGUGGGAACGUGCCUUUAGGUUCGGAAUAGCUCCUGGAAACGGGUGGUAAUGCCGAAUGUGCCCUUCGGGGGAAAGAUUUAUCGCCAUUGGAGGGGCCCGCGUUCGAUUAGGUAGUUGGUGAGGUAAUGGCUCACCAAGCCGACGAUCGAUAGCUGGUCUGAGAGGAUGAUCAGCCACACUGGGACUGAGAUACGGCCCAGACUCCUACGGGAGGCAGCAGUGGGGAAUAUUGGACAAUGGGGGCAACCCUGAUCCAGCAAUGCCGCGUGAGUGAUGAAGGCCUUAGGGUUGUAAAGCUCUUUUGGCGGGGACGAUGAUGACGGUACCCGCAGAAUAAGCCCCGGCUAACUUCGU